Molecule: long non-coding RNA, 166 nt
Organism: Cucurbita moschata (crookneck pumpkin)
Lineage: Eukaryota; Viridiplantae; Streptophyta; Magnoliopsida; Cucurbitales; Cucurbitaceae
Exons: 4
Source: RefSeq, a predicted model, not a curated record
UGCUAAGUCAGGGAGCAUGAGUACUCCUGACCAUUGGUAUAUGAGAUAAACAGGCCGCUAGAGAAAUUAGUAGACAGGUCGUAUUUGACCGAGAGCGAGUCUUACAUACGAGUCCGAAAAUUCUAGAUAAGCAUAUCAAAAGAGAUAAAAGGUAAUGUUUAAAUUA